GACGAACGCUGGCGGCGUGCUUAACACAUGCAAGUCGAGCGGUAAGGCCCUUUCGGGGGUACACGAGCGGCGAACGGGUGAGUAACACGUGGGUGACCUGCCCUUAGCUCUGGGAUAAGCCUGGGAAACUGGGUCUAAUACCGGAUAUGACUCCAUAACGCAUGUUGUGGGGUGGAAAGCCUUGUGCGGCUAGGGAUGGGCCCGCGGCCUAUCAGCUUGUCGGUGGGGUGAUGGCCACCAAGGCGACGACGGGUAGCCGGCCUGAGAGGGCGACCGGCCACACUGGGACUGAGACACGGCCCAGACUCCUACGGGAGGCAGCAGUGGGGAAUCUUGCGCAAUGGGCGAAAGCCUGACGCAGCGACGCCGCGU
This 372-nucleotide ribosomal RNA is filed under the name uncultured bacterium. RNAcentral describes it as "bacterial SSU rRNA". It matches the Rfam family "Bacterial small subunit ribosomal RNA", at positions 28 to 402 of the family's 1533-position model. The record is from RNAcentral.